GAUGAACGCUGGCGGUGUGCCUAAAACAUGCAAGUCGAGCGAACAGACGAGGAGCUUACUCCUCUGACGUUAGCGGCGGACGGGUGAGUAACACGUGGAUAACCUACCUAUAAGACUGGGAUAACUUCGGGAAACCGGAGCUAAUACCGGAUAACAUGUUGAACCGCAUGGUUCAACAGUGAAAGACGGUCUUGCUGUCACUUAUAGAUGGAUCCGCGUCGCAUUAGCUAGUUGGUAAGGUAACGGCUUACCAAGGCAACGAUGCGUAGCCGACCUGAGAGGGUGAUCGGCCACACUGGAACUGAGACACGGUCCAGACUCCUACGGGAGGCAGCAGUAGGGAAUCUUCCGCAAUGGGCGAAAGCCUGACGGAGCAACGCCGCGUGAGUGAAGAAGGUCUUCGGAUCGUAAAACUCUGUUAUUAGGGAAGAACAAAUGUGUAAGUAACUAUGCACGUCUUGACGGUACCUAAUCAGAAAGCCACGGCUAACUACGUG
This 497-nucleotide ribosomal RNA is filed under the name uncultured bacterium. RNAcentral describes it as "partial 16S ribosomal RNA". It matches the Rfam family "Bacterial small subunit ribosomal RNA", at positions 28 to 507 of the family's 1533-position model. The record is from RNAcentral.